CCUGAGAGGGUGGCCCCCACACUGGCACUGAAACACGGGCCAGACACCUACGGGUGGCAGCAGUAGGGAAUAUUGCACAAUGGGCGCAAUCCUGAUGCAGCAACGCCCCGCGCGCGAUGAAGGCCUUCGGGUCGUAAAGCGCUUUUCUGGAGGAGGAGGAAGGACCGUACUCCAGGAAUAAGCCUCGGCUAACUACGUGCCAGCAGCCGCGGUAAAACGUAGGAGGCAAGCGAUUAUCCGAAUUUACUGGGCGUAAAGCGCGUGCAGGCGGUUCGGUAAGUUGGAUGUGAAAUCUCCCGGCUCAACUGGGAGAGGUCGUUCAAGACUGUCGGACUGGAGGGCGGUAGAGGGAGGUGGAAUUCCCGGUGUAGUGGUGAAAUGCGUAGAGAUCGGGAGGAACACCUGUGGCGAAAGCGGGCUUCUUGGACCGUACCUGACGCUCAGACGCGAAAGCUAGGGGAGCGAACGGGAUUAGAAAACCCCGGUAGUCCUAGCUGUAAACGAUGUUGGACUUGGUGUAGGUGGGGGUAAACAGCCAUCCCGUGCCGAAGCCAACGCGAUAAAGUCCACCGCCUGGGGACUACGGCCGCAAAGGUUAAAACUCAAAGGAAUUGGCGGGGGCCCGCACAAGCAGCGGAGCGUGUGGUUUAAUUCGAUGCUACGGCGAAGAACUUUACCCGGGUUUGACAUGCAAGUGGUAGGGAAGCGAAAAGCGGACCGACCCUUCGGGGAGCUUGCACAGGUGCUGCAUGGCUGUCGUCAGCUCGUGUCGUGAGAUGUCCGGUUAAGUCCGGUAACGAG
This 801-nucleotide ribosomal RNA is filed under the name uncultured bacterium. RNAcentral's name for it is "bacterial SSU rRNA". It matches the Rfam family "Bacterial small subunit ribosomal RNA", at positions 291 to 1096 of the family's 1533-position model. The record is from RNAcentral.